RNAcentral lists this unclassified non-coding RNA (212 nucleotides) under Hevea brasiliensis (rubber tree). The record is from RNAcentral. Lineage: Eukaryota; Viridiplantae; Streptophyta; Magnoliopsida; Malpighiales; Euphorbiaceae.
AAUUUGGCUCCACACAACUUUGGAGUGCAUUCAAGUUGCCUUGGCAGCCACAGGAGCACUUCGGGCAAGAAACAAUUGUGUCGUUGUAAAAUGACGACAGCGAGACACAGCAAGUAGGAGUUUUUUGGGCCAGAAAUUGUGAAUAUGUGCAUGUAACAUUCCAUGUCAUCAAUGCCUGUGUAACUCUCCGUUUGUCGGGGGAAACGAAUUUG